CCAUCAGACUUGAGGGAGGGGAGAGGGGAGGAGAGAAGGAAGGGAGGAGGGUGAAGUGAAAAAUGAAACUAUUUAGCUGGGCUGACCCCAGGGCACAGUGGGCACAAGAUAACUAUCUCUAUCUCUCUCGUGCCAGGAAUGAAACAGAAGCAAUGGAUAAAAAGUACCGAUAGCAUGGCCAGAUUUCCCCAAGGCCUCCUUGCCCGAACAGCUUCGGCAACCCGGACCCUGACUGAAAACCAGAAGUGACACCACAGAGCUCCACCUGUGUAGUGCUCCGGAUGGCAGAUGGACCAGUAGUUACCAGCUAAAAUCCCAGAUCCCAAAGCAUAUGUGCUUUGCUCUGAAAAGCCAGACUCAAGGAUCUCACCAAAGUACUUAGAGAUUCUUUCAAGUGCACUUCUAACAUAAAUCAUUCAGUUUCAAAGACUACCACCCACUAGAGAGAAAUGUGCCUGCUAAUGGCAGACUCAUUGAUGGCUAAUAUUGAGAAAAGACACAAAAAUUUACGACAGCCAAAAGACUCAGAAUGCACAGUAACCUGGAGCCAUUUGGUACGGGGUGUUACUGUCAUGAAAAUGGUGUCCUUUUGGUGACUUGUGAUUUCCAGUCUUCUUCCAUUCAGAUGAUGAGAACAGAUACUCUCCUUUAGAACAGAGCCCCACUGAUACAGCCAAGGAAGAAGGGCCAUGUCCUCAGCAUUCAGCUAACACUCCAAAACUGUGAGUGGCCUCAGCCUACACUAACCAAUGAACAUGAGGUGGACAAAAUAGCAUGGAAAACCCACCGGGAGCCCUCGGCCCAUCUCCUGUUCUGUGAGGUUCAAGGUCAGCGAGUCCCUUUGCACGAGGUAUGACCAACCCACCAGCAGUCAAACCCCCUAAAACAACACAACCUCUUCCUUGCGGCCCUACCAACGUGUGCCAUCACCAACGUCUGUGCAAGAGCCAUCUGGCCCCUAAAUGAAGCCUGAAAGUGGUUUUGUUUGGAGAACAUACUACCUCCUGGACACUAAAUUAAAACACACAAUUAGAUUUCCAUUAAGUUACAGCAAAUUCUGCUGAAUUGAUCUAAUCGGCCUACAUUCCUAUAUGACAUCAUGCUUUAAAGGCUUGGCCUGAACAUAAAUACUUAAUGUA
This is a long non-coding RNA of Canis lupus familiaris (dog), 1139 nucleotides long. RefSeq lists it as uncharacterized. The record is from RefSeq and is a predicted model, not a curated record. The transcript has 3 exons. Lineage: Eukaryota; Metazoa; Chordata; Mammalia; Carnivora; Canidae.